Molecule: transfer RNA, 77 nt
Filed under: Campylobacter sputorum
Lineage: Bacteria; Pseudomonadati; Campylobacterota; Epsilonproteobacteria; Campylobacterales; Campylobacteraceae
Also listed under: 3 other names
Description: tRNA-Arg
Rfam family: tRNA
About the family: Transfer RNA (tRNA) molecules are approximately 80 nucleotides in length. Their secondary structure includes four short double-helical elements and three loops (D, anti-codon, and T loops).
Source: RNAcentral
GCGCUCAUAGCUCAGCUGGAUAGAGCAACGCCCUUCUAAGGCGUAGGCCAGAGGUUCGAAUCCUCUUGAGCGUACCA